AGAUUGAACGCUGGCGGCAUGCUUUACACAUGCAAGUCGAACGGUAACAGGCCGCAAGGUGCUGACGAGUGGCGAACGGGUGAGUAUGCAUCGGAACUGCCCAGUCGUGGGGGGAUAACGCAGCGGAAGCUGUGCUAAUACCGCAUACGAUCUAUGGAUGGAAAGGCGGGGGACCGAAGGCCUCGCGCGAGUUGGAGCGGCGAUGUCAGAUUAGCUUAGGUUGGUGGGGUAAACGCCCACGAAGGGCGACGAUCGUGUA
Molecule: ribosomal RNA, 259 nt
Filed under: uncultured soil bacterium
Lineage: Bacteria
Description: partial 16S ribosomal RNA
Rfam family: Bacterial small subunit ribosomal RNA
Source: RNAcentral